Non-coding RNA from Crassisporium funariophilum, 83 nucleotides. The record is from the annotation of a GenBank genome assembly. Lineage: Eukaryota; Fungi; Basidiomycota; Agaricomycetes; Agaricales; Crassisporiaceae.
GGGCACAUGGUGUAGUUGGUUAUCACGCUCGCUUAGCACUCAGUGACUGCGAGAGGUGUUGGGUUCAAUUCCCAAUGUGUCCA